UGGGGAAUAUUGGGCAAUGGGGGAAACCCUGACCCAGCAACGCCGCGUGAAGGAAGAAGGUUUUCGGAUUGUAAACUUCUGUCCUUGGUGAAGAGAAGAAGACGGUAGCCAAGGAGGAAGCCCCGGCUAACUACGUGCCAGCAGCCGCGGUAAUACGUAGGGGGCAAGCGUUGUCCGGAAUGAUUGGGCGUAAAGGGCGCGUAGGCGGCUUUAUAAGUCUGGAGUGAAAGUCCUCUUUUCAAGGGAGGAAUUGCUUUGGAAACUAUAGAGCUUGAGUGCAGGAGAGGUUAUCGGAAUUCCCGGUGUAGCGGUGAAAUGCGUAGAUAUCGGGAGGAACAUCGGUGGCGAAGGCGGGUAACUGGACUGCAACUGACGCUGAGGCGCGAAAGUGUGGGGAGCAAACAGG
Molecule: ribosomal RNA, 406 nt
Filed under: uncultured bacterium
Lineage: Bacteria
Also listed under: 1 other name
Description: bacterial SSU rRNA
Rfam family: Bacterial small subunit ribosomal RNA
Source: RNAcentral